UGAGUAACACGUAUCCAACCUGCCGUCUACUCUUGGCCAGCCUUCUGAAAGGAAGAUUAAUCCAGGAUGGCAUCAUGAGUUCACAUGUCCGCAUGAUUAAAGGUAUUUUCCGGUAAAGGAUGGGGAUGCGUUCCAUUAGGUUGUUGGUGAGGUAACGGCUCACCAAGCCUUCGAUGGAUAGGGGUUCUGAGAGGAAGGUCCCCCACAUUGGAACUGAGACACGGUCCAA
Molecule: ribosomal RNA, 229 nt
Filed under: uncultured bacterium
Lineage: Bacteria
Description: partial 16S ribosomal RNA
Rfam family: Bacterial small subunit ribosomal RNA
Source: RNAcentral